GAUGAACGCUGGCGGCGUGCCUAACACAUGCAAGUCGAACGAGAAAGGGUAGCAAUACCUGAGUAAAGUGGCGCACGGGUGAGUAACACGUGACUAACCUACCCUGGAGUGGGGGAUAACUGAGGGGAACCUUAGCUAAUACCGCAUAAUACCUACGGGUCAAAGGAGCAAUUCGCUUCAGGAGGGGGUCGCGGCCGAUUAGUUAGUUGGCGGGGUAAUGGCCCACCAAGACAGUGAUCGGUAUCCGGCCUGAGAGGGCGCACGGACACACUGGAACUGAAACACGGUCCAGGCUCCUACGGGAGGCAGCAGUGGGGAAUUUUGCGCAAUGGGGGAAACCCUGACGCAGCAACGCCGCGUGGAGGAUGAAGUCCUUCGGGACGUAAACUCC
RNAcentral lists this ribosomal RNA (391 nucleotides) under uncultured bacterium. Its description in RNAcentral is "bacterial SSU rRNA". It matches the Rfam family "Bacterial small subunit ribosomal RNA", at positions 28 to 433 of the family's 1533-position model. The record is from RNAcentral.